Molecule: ribosomal RNA, 1758 nt
Filed under: Nostoc sp. 07005_00001
Lineage: Bacteria; Bacillati; Cyanobacteriota; Cyanophyceae; Nostocales; Nostocaceae
Description: bacterial SSU rRNA
Rfam family: Bacterial small subunit ribosomal RNA (bases 1-1164)
Source: RNAcentral
GGGGAAUUUUCCGCAAUGGGCGAAAGCCUGACGGAGCAAUACCGCGUGAGGGAGGAAGGCUCUUGGGUCGUAAACCUCUUUUCUCAGGGAAGAACACAAUGACGGUACCUGAGGAAUAAGCAUUGGCUAACUCCGUGCCAGCAGCCGCGGUAAUACGGAGGAUGCAAGCGUUAUCCGGAAUGAUUGGGCGUAAAGCGUCCGCAGGUGGCUGUGUAAGUCUGCUGUUAAAGAGUCUAGCUCAACUAGAUAAAAGCAGUGGAAACUACACGGCUAGAGUACGUUCGGGGCAGAGGGAAUUCCUGGUGUAGCGGUGAAAUGCGUAGAGAUCAGGAAGAACACCGGUGGCGAAGGCGCUCUGCUAGGCCGUAACUGACACUGAGGGACGAAAGCUAGGGGAGCGAAUGGGAUUAGAUACCCCAGUAGUCCUAGCCGUAAACGAUGGAUACUAGGCGUGGCUUGUAUCGACCCGAGCCGUGCCGUAGCUAACGCGUUAAGUAUCCCGCCUGGGGAGUACGCCGGCAACGGUGAAACUCAAAGGAAUUGACGGGGGCCCGCACAAGCGGUGGAGUAUGUGGUUUAAUUCGAUGCAACGCGAAGAACCUUACCAAGGCUUGACAUGUCGCGAAUCUUGAUGAAAGUUGAGAGUGCCUUCGGGAGCGCGAACACAGGUGGUGCAUGGCUGUCGUCAGCUCGUGUCGUGAGAUGUUGGGUUAAGUCCCGCAACGAGCGCAACCCUCGUUUUUAGUUGCCAGCAUUAAGUUGGGCACUCUAGAGAGACUGCCGGUGACAAACCGGAGGAAGGUGGGGAUGACGUCAAGUCAGCAUGCCCCUUACGCCUUGGGCUACACACGUACUACAAUGCUCCGGACAGAGGGCAGCAAGCGAGCGAUCGCAAGCAAAUCCCGCAAACCGGAGCUCAGUUCAGAUCGCAGGCUGCAACUCGCCUGCGUGAAGGAGGAAUCGCUAGUAAUUGCAGGUCAGCAUACUGCAGUGAAUUCGUUCCCGGGCCUUGUACACACCGCCCGUCACACCAUGGAAGCUGGUAGUGCCCGAAGUCAUUACUCCAACUGUUCGCAGAGGAGGAUGCCUAAGGCAGGACUGGUGACUGGGGUGAAGUCGUAACAAGGUAGCCGUACCGGAAGGUGUGGCUGGAUCACCUCCUUUUCAGAGAGACCUACACCCCUUAGAUAUCGAAAAGCAUACAGCUAUAUAGGUAGUAAGUUGGUCAUUCCUUAGGUCGGUCGCAAACAUUUGCAAAUGUUCAAGGCUUUCAAACUAUGAUGAAGGUUCGAUAUGGGCUAUUAGCUCAGGUGGUUAGAGCGCACCCCUGAUAAGGGUGAGGCCCCUGGUUCGAGUCCAGGAUGGCCCACCUGAAGAAGUCAAAAGUCAAAAGUUAAAAGUCAAAAGUAAAUACUUUUGAGGAAUGAGUUUUGAAUUUUGAAUUGAUUCUGGGGGUUUAGCUCAGUUGGUAGAGCGCCUGCUUUGCAAGCAGGAUGUCAGCGGUUCGAGUCCGCUAACCUCCACCUGUGGUGAUUGCCAUUGAUAAAAUAUUAUAUUGGGAAAUCAGCAACAUGACUUAACUCAAGUCAGACUGCUGAGUUGAACUCAGCCAGAACCUUGAAAACUGCAUAGUAACGCGAAAAUAGCAGGCAGACACAGACAUUCUGAAUGGAUGUAGUGAAUGCAAUUGUUGAAAGACCAAAUGAAUUGAGUGGUCAAGCUAAUAAGGGCUAACGGUGGAUACCUAGGCACACAGAG